AAAAGACAGUGCCCAGGAAGCGCCUUUGAGGCAUUUUUGAUAACCGUCUUCUCAUCCUCUCUAGGCUGAAAGCACCUCCAGGCCUCUCCAAAGCUACCAGGGCAUUCCUCGCAAAAGACUUUAAUGGGACAGACCUGUGGGACAUCAGUCUUGGAGAUUCAGCGGAGAGGUGACAGUCACUAUGGGAGAGUAGUCCCCUGAGGGUAGUGUAUGUUCAGAGAACUCUGUAUGAGUCUUAAACCACUGGGAGCAUCCAUCAUCGACUGAGGGCUGGCUGUUGUGUGCCUGUCACUGUGCUCAUUUGUCCUGGGAAUACAAGGCAAGCGUAAUACAAUAUAGUUUAUUCAAAGGGUCUGUAGCUUCUGACCUUCAAAGGGGAGUGCUAAGG
RNAcentral lists this long non-coding RNA (388 nucleotides) under Phascolarctos cinereus (koala). RNAcentral's name for it is "lncRNA (ENSPCIG00000017849.2)". Lineage: Eukaryota; Metazoa; Chordata; Mammalia; Diprotodontia; Phascolarctidae. The record is from RNAcentral.